AAUGAAUGCCAAGUUUCGUGAGAUAUGUUUGAUAUUCUUGGUUGUUUUAUGAAUAAUCGACCAGGAAUCAAACAUAUUAUUACGACGUUUGGUUCGAACAACAUAUGUCAUAUU
Molecule: microRNA precursor, 114 nt
Filed under: Polistes canadensis
Lineage: Eukaryota; Metazoa; Arthropoda; Insecta; Hymenoptera; Vespidae
Description: microRNA pca-mir-190 precursor
Gene: pca-mir-190
Rfam family: mir-190 microRNA precursor family (bases 12-89)
Source: miRBase by way of RNAcentral